This is a long non-coding RNA of Hydractinia symbiolongicarpus, 4966 nucleotides long. RefSeq lists it as uncharacterized. Lineage: Eukaryota; Metazoa; Cnidaria; Hydrozoa; Anthoathecata; Hydractiniidae. The record is from RefSeq and is a predicted model, not a curated record. The transcript has 4 exons.
CUGAUAUCCCACGACAUUUUAAUAAUAAAAAUUAAAUAACCGGAACGAUUUUAAUUCUCCGUUUUUCUGAGAUGAGCCACGUUCAGCUAGAGAGAAGAGUGCUUAACUAUUAAGAAGAAAAAAAUGGAACUGACAGUGGCUGGGUAGAAGUUUGUAAGCCUUUGGCUUGCAAAGUAAAGAAACUUAUACAUUAAGAAAAAAAAGAUAUUGUCAGGCAGAACGAUGUUCCGUUCACAAGCAUUUUACGGUGAAGUAGAAAAAAAGUUGUAGAGGGUGGAAUCGAGGAUUCUGGAUUGCAAUGAAAAAAAAACACAACAACAAUGGAAUAUCCGUGACAAGAAAGAUCUGAUCAGAGUGUCAAUUCGUUAUCUGCUAGUAUAAAAUGUUACUAUUGCUAUUUUAUAAAGAUAUUAAGACUGCUGGGUACAAGCAAGUAGAUUGCAGUUGUGCAAGCGUUACAUUACAACGGAGUUUUUAAAUUACUGUGAAAUCGCAAUAUGAUCAGUUUAAUAGCGUGUUUAACAGCUGUUGCCCAUCACUAAACUUACUGGAUGUGUGUUUUCCGUGUUGUUGGAUACACACACGUUUAUCAAAAGCAAAGCGAUUUCAAGUCCUCUUUGCUGAAUGAUAAUUUUGCGGAAUAAUUUUAAGUCACUAUUACCGUUUGAAUAGUGUUUUGGUGUUACCUAAUCAAUUCACAGUUAUUCUGAUGACACUUCAACUAUUUACCGUUGACAAAUGGUUCGGUCAAGUUUUGUAAUAAACAUUAGCAAUUAAGGAAAAAAAAUCUGUGUGGGAGAAAAAGGUGAAAAAAGUUUAUUUUUGGAAAAAUAGAUAUGUAUUAUUUUGAAAGCGAAUGUGUUAUUUUGAAAUGUAUUAUUUUGAAAGCGAAGGUAUAAUCUAAGGCUGUCCGUUUUUGUUUCAACCCAAAUUAAUAUUACUAUAAUAAUUCUUUGUUGAAUGAGUACUUCGUGGUGUUCUGUCAUGCUCUUCAAACUUAUUCAGCAAAAUUACCGAGCUAUCUACGUUUUUCUGCUUGUAGAUAUUUUCUUUCGACUAAAGUUUAACUGAUUUUUUAAAACUUUAAUAUUUACGAAAUUAGUUAAUCUUGUUUGUUCAUUAGUUAACUACUUGUUAUAUCAUAGCCUAUGAGCUAAUUUGUCCACGUUACAUACAACUUGUAAUUUAUAGCAUGCCAGGAAAUAUAUUUAAUUGAUGUGAAGUUUCGAGAACAGCAUCCAUAAACUGGAAUAAUCGGCAAUCUGAUAUGAGUUAUGCGUGUAUUAAAUGAAAAUUACUUGAAGCGCGGACUGCAUUUCACAAACAUAAAUAUCAAGCAUCAAAAAAUAGUUAAAAUUUAAAUAAUAUUUUUCUAUGUUUUUCUAGUUGAUUAAUGUUUAACUGUAAAAGUGGCGAUACCACCACCUGAUACACAGCCACUAUUCAGUCACAAAACAAAUCUUUUCUCCGUUAACAAUGAAAGAUGCAAACGAGACGUCGCGUUGGACCUUCUAGCCUUUCGCACUCGAUAAUAAAUCCAGUUCACUUGUUGUUGCUUCCCCUUAGGCGAACUGUCGAAAAGUUCCGUGGAAAAAUACGUCAACAAAGAAAAUUCAAUACUUAAUAUUUUUUAGAUAUUUGUCUACCGGCUACAUUUGUGUAGAGCUAGACCGCUGAUCAAAGUAACGUAUAGAAACAUGUGCUUUUGACGAGCGGUUAAGAAAAUAUUAGGGUAUAAAAACUUCUCUCACGUCAGAAAAACUUCGAUAAUAUGAACACAUUUUUUAGAGCUGGCGAACUCAACCUGUCUGUUUUGAAACGGGUUGGUCAGAGACGUCAGUUACCUCAACUUAUUUGGCAUUAAAAUAAGUGGAUCGCUAUAAUACAAGCAUGCAGUAUGUUGUAAAGCGGACACAACAUAUUGUUUCAGGUGUAAAUAAUUUUUAAAAAUAACUUUUUCGCAACUUUUUUCCGAAAAAAAACACAGCUCAUAGCCUGCUGCUAACCCAUCAUACCAAAAACAGCCAGACUAUAUUUGUUUUAUUUUUUGAAAUAAAAUCCGUAAAAAUUCAAAAGUUCUUGGGACACCGGUACUAAUGCUUUAUAUAUAUACAGAUAAAGCGUUUUAUAAGUUGAUUUUGCAGAUUUUUAAGAGAGUCUUUGUACGAGAAGGUUGCCAAACUUUUGGCAUAUUUUAAAAUUUUAUACUCUCUGCGCGUAGAGUUAAUUUUAUAAUAAUAUUCAGAAUAAAGCCAAAACCGAUUUCACUUUAUCUUUGCUUGGAAAAUUUAAAAACACAUAAAUAAUACACCAACCGCAUCUUAACUAAGCGCUACGUUUGAUGGAUUGUCUUCUUCCUGAAGUUUUAUUUAAAAAGCACAACAGCUUUGCGCUUUCGUUUUGGCAAAAUCAAACCAUUUAUGCCGCAAUACAGCUGUAUGUAACGACGUAUACACCCUUUUACGAAACAGUUGAAGACAGCCUACCAGUCCACUCUCUUAUCAAACUGAUUAGCAACUUAAAUAGAAGCUGGUGAUGUAGCGAUAUCAAUAAAAGUGCUAUACAGGGCAGGACACGUAAGGGAUGGUGGUGUAGGUGGACAUGUUAGUGUUAAUGGGCCUGAAGGUGUUAAUGGAGUAGGAAUAUGGAAUGAUAAGCGGGAGAAAUUGGUGUUAAUUUGUUUAGUGGGUGGUGAAACGGGUAAGUAUGUUGGUGAAUUAGGAUGUUACAAAGGAAUGGCGGGUUGUUCUCUGUCUUUCCCCCUGUGCUGUAUGUUUUUUUGCAAUACCUAAAGGUCCGAUGAAUGUCAAAACUUUUGACCCCUGGCAUUGAAUGCAAAAUAUGCAUAAGUACUCUGUUAAUGUUCCAAAGAUCAACUAGUCGAUUAUUCAAUUACUAUAAAAACAUACUUAUUCCAAUGUUUAUAUCUAUCAUUUUACCCUAUAUUCAUUCCUAUCAUUUUACCCAAAAUGACCGUUUUCGUAUAUAGCUAAUUUAAAAAUUGGAUCACUAAGAACAAAUAGAGAAAAAAAUAUGACCGCAUGUCAGUUUAAACUUGUAAAUAUGUGAUUAUGCAAGCAAUUCAUGAAUUAUUUUAUAUAUUGUAGUCUUCGAAGAUUAUUUCCGUCUGUUGUCAAAUUUGAACUUAAUUAUUCGUUCACCUUGCUUCACAAUAUUAGCUAAUUACCUCUUCUUAGUUAUAUUCCGGAAGCAUAAAAAAGAUAUCAAAAGUGAACCAAAUGUGAAUGCUGUGUUACUGACUUCCUAUUUGUAUGCGUGUUUUCAUUUUCGGCAUGGUAUCAGCUAUUCCAUAUACAAAAAUGAAAUAAACUUAUGAAAUUCUUAUAUACUGGGUACUUAAGAGAAUUAUUGAAGUGUAUUAUGGACAGAUGAUGACAAAAUAUAUUUUACAUUGUCGCUAACACAGGCAAUAAAACAAAUAAACUUGUUAUUUGAGAUCAAGCCUCCAAAAAUUAUCUUGUUAGUCUAUAAAGGAAACUGGCACAGAAUCUUUCUUCAAUACCAAGUUCUGUACAAAGUUUACCUCCACGCGAGCCUCCUCAUGUGCCUGCAAACAUAUUCUGAGCCAUUCUGGUGGAUUCUAAAAAAUAAGAUAAUUGGUUUUACCUUUCGUAUUUUUAUGACGUAAUUUAUUGACUUUAAGUUGAAUAUUUUUUAAUUAGUGGUAGAACAUAGCGCACAGUGUAGUCAGUGAUUAAUUUACUUUUCUAGAUAUUAUCGCUUUUAUAUACUAGAAUUUUUAACAUUUUUGUCAUAUCUGAAGUAAACCUUAUCGCUAUUUUAUUAGGAAUAUCAGAAUUAUUUUUAAAUAUUACAAACAUUAAGCAGUGUAAUUAUCACAUUGUUAUAGUUUUGACAAAAUAUUUCAUUCAUGAUUAAAUAAUAAAAAUUUCACUUGAAAGUAGCUACUAAAGUCCUAAAUAGACAAUCUAAAAGCCGCUUGCUUUCAUUUGUUUAAAUCGAUUCGUUUGUAAAAACUUAUUUGCGUAAUUUUGACUAAAAGUAAAAAUAAAUACUUACUUCGAGCCAGGAGCCAGUCCUAUAAAUCGUGAGGAGGAUCUAGCCUACAUUAAAAAUAUAAAGGGUCAUUAUGAAUUACUGACGAUAUGGUACAACAGCAAAUUAUUGCCGAAAUUAUUGCCAAAAUUAGUUAUGGCUAUGAAAAGACUAUUCGUAAUUUAAAUUCAAAAAGUAACUAAUUUAUUAAACCUCCUUGAUUAAAUAGCCCAAGAACUUAAAAAAACUGUCUUUAUAGAAAAACGUCACUGUUUUAAUCUUGUAAAAUACGAAUGUUGUGUUUAAAAACCAAAACUAAAUAGGUGUUAAAAUUUUUAUACGAAUAUUUUUACCUGAACUUUUAUUGUAUGCCGUGAAAGCAAAAGUAGAUUUUGUAUAUUUCGUAUGGGCAUUAUUACCAAUUAAUAGCUUUGGGCUUGUUAUCGAGUAAUAACUAUUAUAAGUUAAGAGUAUUUUUCUAAUUAUAACCCAUAAAAAAGGAGAUUGUAUAAAGCCACUAGUUUUUUUCAAAAGUUAAAUUCAUUGGGGAGGUCGAAUUCACUCAUUAAUCAGAAACAAAAACAAAGAAGAGAUUGAAUGUACUCAGAAUAACAGGUUUUAAGAAGCAACAACAUUGGGGAGAUUGAAUUCACCCAUAAAAACAAAUUUUCAAAGCAAUAACAAAAUUGAGAAAAUUGAAUUCACCCAUAGAAUAAAAUUUUAAAGGCAACAAAACUAGAAAGAGCUAUAUUUUAAAGAGUAACUUUUGUUAAAACAGAAUGGAGGAAACGGAAAUCACUCUACAUUCGCAACAUUUUCUGUUAAAACAAUUAUUUGCAACAACAGCAAAAAAUGUAGAUAGUAUAUAGGGACAGUGGGAAUCUCGCUAAUACAUUCAUGCGCGACAUUUGAGGCAAAAUUCCAAUCACCUUGUCUCGUCUUGCACACC